GCAGCAAAAGCGGCAAAUUGUCUUGCAAAACAGCGCGCAGAGUUGGAGAGAGCAGACGACGGCCCAGAAUUUUGAAGCGUGUCUUGUUUUUGGGGGGGAGUUUUCGGAUGGCCCGUUGCUGGCGUCGGUCCCCGUUUCGGUAUUCGUUCUUUCUGCUUUUGCCUAAAGGCCAGACUCAUUGCCUUCCUCGUUACUUGCUUUAUUAACGCGCUAUGGGAAUUCAAAAAACAACAAAAAAAACCCAACCACCACCAAACCAACGCAACGCAACCCCAACGAAACCUGACAAAGCAGCACUCCGCGCAAAUCAGAGCGCGACGUUCCAGCUGGCAACCUCACCGGGAAGACGAUGCCGCCUGGCGGGGGUGGAUCCCGCCCGGUCCGCGGAGGAGGAGAGAGGAACGACUGUCCCUCCAGCUCCGGCUCCUCCGCUCCCACCUGCCGCCUCGAAAACAAUCGUCGUUUCCACGUUAUGACACUCACCAGACACGUCCCGCCGCUCACGCUGUCUGAGCCUCUUCUGAGGCUCCGUGCAGCGUUUCCUGAUUAAUUAUAUUUAGUUCUGAUGAUGAUGUUUGCCUAAACCCCGCUAGCAAAGCGACCAGCACCGACUCCUCUCUCAGCCCCGGACCGGAUCCCGGCGUCACGACGCGUCAGCCCCCGGCGAAGGCGGACGCCACGCCACGCGCCCGAUUGCUACCGCGUCCGCCUCGACACGCCGGAUUCCCAAAGUUUUGACCCAAAUUGCAGCGUCACCUCCCGUCGGCAGAUUAUAACCACCUGGAGCAUCCCGCGUCGCAGCGGGGGUCUGCCCUCCGGCCCGGCCGACAGCCCCCGUCCCCGGACGGGGAGCGCAGAUGGGUAUUCACUCACCGGCGCGGGCGCCCACCAGGUCCCCCGUUAGGGCGGCCAAGGCUUUGCUCUCGGAGGCGGCCGGUCGGAGCAGGCGAAGCCCAGGCGGAGCGGCAGGCGCCGGGGCUUUCUAGGAAAUCUCAACGAGGAGAACUCCCGCUGUCGGCACCGCCACAACCCCCUGCUCUCGGAGGAAGCCGGGAGCGCAGAUGGCUACAGGCAGAGAAUAAAUAUUUCAUUAAGUCCGAGGUGAGGGUUUUUUCCUUAUGUGCAGGUUUGCUGGCUGCCGCUUUGGCAACUGCUCCCCCUUCCGACAGCCUCUUUCUUCCAGGAAUUACUGCAAUUAUUUUUGUCAUCCCCAAACAAGUUAACCCCUUCCCGCGCAGCGCAGCGUUCGGAGGCAGCCAGAAGGUCGCUCCGCGCGUAGCAAAGCCCGUUUGUCUCACUGCCGCGCCGUGACAGUUUGCGCGACGCGGCGGAGCUGUUGCCACGUGUCGUUCUCUUGCUGCUGUCCUCCGGCUCAUGUCGUCACUUUUCUGUUUACCUCUUUUCAACAAAAUAAACGUCAACGCAGGGGAAAAAAAAAAAACCCAAAAAACAGAGGGACUUUCUCAGUGGUUGCUGGCAUCCUGGCGGAGGCAGAACGGGCAUAGUCUCAUCCGAGCUGAUCCUUUGCAACUUUUGAUUAAAAUCACGUUUACCAUCGGUCACAAUCGCAUCUAUUUCCAUCUCGCGCGCACCUGACGCCUGGGCAUCGUUGUUUGUUACUCCGACGAUGAGCUUUUUUCUUUAUUCUUUUUUUUAAGGAUACGCAACAGAACAAGGUUUAGCUCAUUUUUAUUUUUCCAGGUAAACGGUGGCUAGAAGGGAACGACGCUCAGCUGCGAGUUGGGCGGUGUCCGGAGAGGGGAAAGCACCCCCGAAACGGGCAUCAGGUGCCUCCUGCUUGCGAACCACAGGGAACCCUGGAGAAGGUAACUCUCACUUGCUCAUAUUCCCUCCUCUGCCCGGAGGUUUGGUAAGGAGAAAAGAAAAGAAAAAAAAAAGGAAAUAAAGGAGAGAAACCUUCAGCUCUUCGGCAAUCCGCUCGGCUCCACCUCUCCCGCUCCUCUCCGCCUGGGAGAGCUCCCCGUUUCGGGACGCGUCGCCUCACUCUGGCCCUGCUUUCGACAGGAGCGAGGGGAAAAGUACCUCCUGGAUGGGGUCCUCAGCGCUACGCGGGAAUAGAGCUCCCUGCAAAACGUCUUCCAACACGGGUUGCAUCCCGCAGACGAGCUUUGCAGGAACCGCGCAGGCUUUAUGAGACGACAAGAAUCCCGGCAAACUCUCAUCCAUCGACCUUCGUUAAGGGUUGGCUCGUGGUUAGUGGCACCGGAUCGUCCUCCGCACAGCAGCUUUCCUAGACCUUAGAGUGAUUUGUACACACCAUGCUAAUGAACCUGGCCUCAUCAGUAUGCCCGGCUGUCAAUUAAGCAGCUUGCAAGGCCACUGCUUGCUGCUUUGGAACGUGCAGUGGUGGUUGCAGUCGGAAGAUAAAAGAAUUAAUAACUAAAUCCAAUUUAAAUAUCAAACAACAAAAGUAAAGGAAAGUGAUUUACAGGACGGUUUACCUUCAAAACCCCAAAUUCCUGGGGAUAAUGAUCUAAGUUGCACUUCCCAUCCUACUUCUGAAAGAACAAGGAUUACAGGAGAGCAGUUAUACUUACACGAGUCGUUCUGAGGAACGAGCUAAGCCACUUUCCGACACGCAAAGUUCAAUGCUCUGUUUUUAGCGUCGCUCUAAUGUCGCGCUUGAAACGCUCCAGGCUCUGCCCCAGGAGAAUUAAACACAAGCUCACAAUGCCAAUUCCUCCUCGGGAACGUCGCUUGCUGCAGUUUCUCCUCCAGAUUACCCCCUCACGCACGCAUACGAGACACCAUUUGACACUCUUUAAGCCAAAAUUACAUUUUCUGCUUGAAGAAGCUCAUUAAUGUCCGUUUUCCCACCUGAGCAGGGAUGGCAGGAUUUCUUGCUGUGCUGCGCUAUGCUCUUUGCAAGCCAGAAAGACAAGAAAACGUCUGUGCAUUUCUCUUGUCGGGGCUGUUUUGGGGUGCAAGCGGAAAAGAGCAGGACGGAGUAUCCUCCUCUUCCCCUGGCAUGAAGGAUGCAGCUUUAUUUGCUCUGUAUUUCCAGCCAGGGUUGUCCGAUUGCAGAGCUAACUUUUCUAAACCACCCCUGGUUGACUUGUGGCAGGGCUGUUCAAAUGGGGAUGUACCGGAUCGUUUUAUGUCCGAUCAUUCACCUAAAAACUCAAGUCACUGGUAUACCAAAGCAUUCAAGGAUACAUGCCAAAUAAUCUUACCCGUGCUGAAUUCUGCAGCAAAAUGCAUUUGCAGGAAGAGGAAAUGGUUGAGCGAUGCUGAUUAAAAGCACCAGAGCUGCCACCACCGAGCGCAGAGGCCAUCCACGCAGUCACUAGCGGGACUUUCUGGAGGAAGGACCGUUCCUGGGCCUCAAACAGCGCUGAUAUCUCCUGUCUGCGGCCCCAGGCCGCAACAGCAACCCCGAACCCAUGUGCUACUGCACACCUGGCAGAGCCUGGUACAAAAUGUUUUAGUAAUGUUUACAGGGGAUUUAUUAAAACUGGGUGUUUUAAGUUACCUUUGAGAGAUUUUGGGCUCUUUCUUUAGAAACACUGAUUAGAAGCAUUGAAAUCAAUACAAAUAAAAGCAUGAAUCCAAAGGGGAUUAGUUAAACCCCACUGAGUCUCCAGCUGGGGCUUCCUCACUCCCAAUUAAGUCAUGUUGAUUCAAUUUACCUCAAUUUACUUUAGAAGUGAACUCAGGUGCAGUGAACUGCAAAUGCACUGAGCCCCUGGGUAGACACUCAUGAGGGAUUAAUAUAGUUGAAUGGAGCCACCAGAAAAGUCAUUUAGGUUGAAAUUUUCAGAACAUCCCCACCUAAUCAAGUCCCUUGUGUAGCCAAGAACAAACCCUGGUAGUUCCUUGAGCCUCCUGCUGUGACCUGCUUUAGGGCCCAGCUCACGGCCUUCUCCACCAGCCCGGGGAAAGCUCGAAGCCUGGCACACGCGUAUCCACGCAGCAGACAUGAGCAGCUCCGUGUGCUAAUGCUUAGAGCAUCCUCGGGUAUUUAGGACUUAUACACAUGCUAUACGAUGUAUUCUACUUACCUUAAAUGUAAGAGCUACAAUAUAAACAAGUGCAAACAGUA
Struthio camelus australis is the source of this 4063-nucleotide non-coding RNA. NCBI's taxonomy places the organism in Eukaryota, Metazoa, Chordata, Aves, Struthioniformes, Struthionidae. The record is from RefSeq and is a predicted model, not a curated record.